UUUCCACACCCACCAGAUCCACCUGUUGGUAAACCAGAAUGGAUCAUUAGUGAUGGAUUUCAUGGGAAUAUGUAAACAGAAGAGAUUUAUUGAUUUGUUUUUAAAGCACAAGAGAUUAACUGAUGUUUUUCCUGGGGAGUUUCCUCUUCAGCUGCAGCUCUGGAAGGACUUUGCCCCCUGUGGGUCUGAUCCAGCCUGGAAUCCCUUCGCCUCCUUAAGGCCAGGAUGGAAAUUACUGGGAUGUGAGACAAUUCUGGGAUCGGGAGCAGAUCAGCACAACUCACCAGCACCGGGAGCACCAGAGCCAUGAACCCCCCACAGCACAGGGAGAAGGCCACGGUGUAGGUGAGGAGCAGCGGGAAUGUCGUGGCCAGGGGCCCCAGGAGGUUUGUGAUCCCGCUCAGGACCAGGUAAGUCACGUGGAAAUGGUACUUCUUGGUCCAGUUCUGGUCGGCCACCCAGCCCGAGAGCAGCUGGCUCAGCAUCUCCGUGAUGCCUGAGGGAACAGGAGCCACCAGAAACUCAGAAAACACUUCUUUGGGGAUAGUUUUUCCUCUUUUUCCUUGUGGCACGUCCCAGUUUCACCUGCCUGCUACGACCACAAAGGGCUGAAACGCCAAAAAGUUACAGGGAGGUGUUUUUAGGCUGUUGUAAAAUUGAUAUUUGGGGGUUUUUGCCUUUCCCCAGCUAUUACCAAUCAGUAAAAAUUCAGUCAAGGGCUCUGCACUCAGCAGAAAUCUCUGAAAUGCCCUUCAGUAAAAACAGGGCAGAUAAACUUGCUGUCUGAUCCCUUUUCUGAGAUGGAGAAAAAGCGGAAUAUUAAGAAAUAUGUGCAUGAGAUUUUAAUUUUUCUAAAGAAGCCAAUUGCCCAGCAUUUCUAUAAAGGCUCAGCAAACUUUUGACACUUGUUUUUUUACAUUUCUCGCUACAUUUUUAUGAACCCAAGAUCAGAGGAGAGCUCACUGUCAGCUCGUGUCUUGCACCACUGUGUCCCUCCUACUCUUAGUUCAAAAUACCACCUGAAUUUCUGGGCUCUCCCAAAUCCCUUGACAGCACAUCACUGCUAAAUAUCCCACAGCUCUGUAGAAGGAAAAUGUAUUUUUGUACAAUAAAAUACUUGAAUCUGA
Long non-coding RNA from Pseudopipra pipra, 1127 nucleotides. RefSeq lists it as uncharacterized. The transcript is spliced from 2 exons. The record is from RefSeq and is a predicted model, not a curated record. NCBI's taxonomy places the organism in Eukaryota, Metazoa, Chordata, Aves, Passeriformes, Pipridae.